Galeopterus variegatus (Sunda flying lemur) is the source of this 444-nucleotide non-coding RNA. NCBI's taxonomy places the organism in Eukaryota, Metazoa, Chordata, Mammalia, Dermoptera, Cynocephalidae. The record is from the annotation of a RefSeq genome assembly.
AUGCAGAAGAUCUGCUCCCUCAUCCAUCUCUCCUUCUUCUGGGCAGGAGUCAUGUCAGCAGUUGUGUUGGUGCCUCAAGAGCAAGCAGUCACUGUGCCUGUGGGAGGGUCUGCCACCCUCAGGUGCUCCAUGGAAGGAGAGACAAUCACUAACUUCUACAUGAACUGGUACAGGCAGACCCAGCAUAGUGCACUGACUUUCAUAUACCGAGAAGGGAACAUCUACGGCCUUGGCUUCGAGGGCAGGUUUCAAGGUGACAUUGAUAUUCCAAACAACCAGGCUGUACUUAAGAUUCUUAAGGCAUCAGAAAGUGAUGAAGGAUCUUACUACUGCGCCAGUGUCACCCACCCUGCUGCGGGCCUACUUCUGAGCAGCUCAAAAACCAUCGAGCUCUAUGUAGACCAGCAGUUCCAACAUGAUCGGCAUUUUCUCUUGAAUGAAUAA